CCCGGGCCUUGUACACACCGCCCGUCACGUCAUGAAAGUCGGUAACACCCGAAGCCCAUGGCCCAACCUCGUAAGGGGAGGGAGUGGUCGAAGGUGGGACUGGCGAUUGGGACG
RNAcentral lists this ribosomal RNA (114 nucleotides) under uncultured bacterium. Its description in RNAcentral is "partial 16S ribosomal RNA". It matches the Rfam family "Bacterial small subunit ribosomal RNA", at positions 1373 to 1482 of the family's 1533-position model. The record is from RNAcentral.